GACGAACGCUGGCGGCGUGCUUAACACAUGCAAGUCGAACGGUAAGGCCCUUCGGGGUACACGAGUGGCGAACGGGUGAGUAACACGUGGGCGAUCUGCCCUGCACUUCGGGAUAAGCCUGGGAAACUGGGUCUAAUACCGGAUAGGACUACUGGCCUGAUGGUUGGGGGUGGAAAGCUUUUGCGGUUGGGGAUGGGCCCGCGGCCUAGCAGCUGGUUGGUGGGGUAAUGGCCUACCAAGGCGACGACGGGUAGCCGGCCUGAGAGGGUGACCGGUCACACUGGGACUGAGAUACGGCCCAGACUCCUACGGGAGGCAGCAGUGGGGAAUAUUGCACAAUGGGCGCAAGCCUGAUGCAGCGACGCCGCGUGAGGGAUGACGGCCUUCGGGUUGUAAACCUCUUUCAGCUAUGACGAAGCGCAAGUGACGGUAGUAGCAGAAGAAGGACCGGCCAACUACGUGCCAGCAGCCGCAGUAA
RNAcentral lists this ribosomal RNA (478 nucleotides) under uncultured bacterium. RNAcentral's name for it is "partial 16S ribosomal RNA". It matches the Rfam family "Bacterial small subunit ribosomal RNA", at positions 28 to 523 of the family's 1533-position model. The record is from RNAcentral.